UUUAAUUGUAAUCUUUAAGCCGCAAGGCUUAGGGCCC
This 37-nucleotide small RNA is filed under the name Neochlamydia sp. EPS4. RNAcentral's name for it is "CRISPR-DR33". Lineage: Bacteria; Pseudomonadati; Chlamydiota; Chlamydiia; Parachlamydiales; Parachlamydiaceae. The record is from RNAcentral.